This 253-nucleotide ribosomal RNA is filed under the name uncultured bacterium. Its description in RNAcentral is "partial 16S ribosomal RNA". It matches the Rfam family "Bacterial small subunit ribosomal RNA", at positions 524 to 776 of the family's 1533-position model. The record is from RNAcentral.
UACGGAGGGUGCGAGCGUUGUCCGGAGUUAUUGGGCGUAAAGAGCUUGUAGGCGGUUUGUCGCGUCUGCUGUGAAAUUUCGGGGCUCAACCCCGAACUUGCAGUGGGUACGGGCAGACUAGAGUGUGGUAGGGGAGACUGGAAUUCCUGGUGUAGCGGUGAAAUGCGCAGAUAUCAGGAGGAACACCGAUGGCGAAGGCAGGUCUCUGGGCCACUACUGACGCUGAGAAGCGAAAGCAUGGGGAGCAAACAGG